GAAGCAGGCCGGGUGACCGCGGCUCGCCGAGAGGCGGGUCGAGGAAAGUCCGGGCUCCGCAGAGCAGGACGCUGGGGAAAAUCCCAGGCGGAGAGAUCCGCGGAAAGUGCCACAGAAAGCAAACCGCCGGGAGCUUCGGCUCCGGGUAAGGGUGAAACGGUGAGGUAAGAGCUCACCAGCGCCGCGGGCGACCGCGGCGGCUCGGCAAACCCCGUUCGGAGCAAGGCCAAGCAGGAGGCGCGGGCUGCUCGUCCGCCGCAAGGCACCUCCGGGUAGGCCGCACGAGGCGGCCGGCAACGGUCGUCCCAGAUGGAUGGUCACCGCUCGCCCUUUUUGGAGCGAGUACAGAACCCGGCUUACAGGCCUGCUUCCGGG
RNAcentral lists this RNase P RNA (375 nucleotides) under Actinomycetota bacterium. RNAcentral's name for it is "Actinobacteria bacterium RNase P RNA component class A". It matches the Rfam family "Bacterial RNase P class A". Rfam says of the family: Ribonuclease P (RNase P) is a ubiquitous endoribonuclease, found in archaea, bacteria and eukarya as well as chloroplasts and mitochondria. Its best characterised activity is the generation of mature 5'-ends of tRNAs by cleaving the 5'-leader elements of precursor-tRNAs. The record is from RNAcentral. Lineage: Bacteria; Bacillati; Actinomycetota.